ACAUGUAGGAGUAGUGCUUCGCUGGACGUCUGUUGACGUAUGUGUGGGCUAGCGUGUGCAUGGGUGUGUGUGCGGAGCAUCUGUCCGUCCUAUUUCUCCACCAAGUUAGCCUUCACGUGAUGGUUUCUACUUUCGUUGUCACGCACGUGCGGGCACCUCAAGGUGGUCAUCCGUGACUAAAUGGCCGCGGGAACGCCCGACCGUGCUUCUUUUUGUAUGCGUAAGCCGAGUUGGUCGUCUUCAUCGCACGUCUUCUGCGCCGGAUAUCUCCAUCGAGCAUGCGUCGGCAGCGCUGGCGUUGGAGCCGUAAACUUCAUUUUGGCCGUCAAAUUCACGCGGUCACUUUUAGCGGUUACACCUGGGUGAGCGGUUGCCGCCAGCUCUCGUCUCCAUGCUCUCUUGCGCCGCCACUGCUGCCCACCGGUGUGUGCACGCUGAGCUCGGCUGAGAAGAGGGCGUCUUGCUGACGAUACUGCUGAGCUCACUCACGUGACACGUCGUUUCGCGCGGCCGCCUGCUCCCCUACAUCGCCAUACAAAGAUAAUUAUCCAGUGCGCGCGGAGAGGACGACCGUGGCGCCAAUGUUUUGUUGCUGUUCCACCAGUGUCGUCUCCACGCCACCGCCACCACUGCUCGCUCCCUCAUUUUUUUCUACGCUGCUCCAUCUGGCCUGCCGCUUCUUUGCAUCCACACAG
RNAcentral lists this unclassified non-coding RNA (695 nucleotides) under Leishmania donovani. RNAcentral describes it as "gene:unknown". Lineage: Eukaryota; Euglenozoa; Kinetoplastea; Trypanosomatida; Trypanosomatidae. The record is from RNAcentral.